This 468-nucleotide ribosomal RNA is filed under the name uncultured bacterium. RNAcentral describes it as "partial 16S ribosomal RNA". It matches the Rfam family "Bacterial small subunit ribosomal RNA", at positions 28 to 507 of the family's 1533-position model. The record is from RNAcentral.
GACGAACGCUGGCGGCGUGCUUAACACAUGCAAGUCGAACGGAAAGGCCCUGCUUUUGUGGGGUGCUCGAGUGGCGAACGGGUGAGUAACACGUGAGUAACCUGCCCUUGACUUUGGGAUAACUUCAGGAAACUGGGGCUAAUACCGUAUAGGAGCUCCUGCUGCAUGGUGGGGGUUGGAAAGUUUCGGCGGUUGGGGAUGGACUCGCGGCUUAUCAGCUUGUUGGUGGGGUAGUGGCUUACCAAGGCUUUGACGGGUAGCCGGCCUGAGAGGGUGACCGGCCACAAUGGGACUGAGAUACGGCCCAGACUCCUACGGGAGGCAGCAGUGGGGAAUAUUGCACAGUGGGCGGAAGCCUGAUGCAGCAACGCCGCGUGCGGGAUGACGGCCUUCGGGUUGUAAACCGCUUUAGCCUGUGACGAAGCGUGAGUGACGGUAAUGGGUAAAGAAGCACCGGCUAACUACGUG